RNAcentral lists this ribosomal RNA (253 nucleotides) under uncultured bacterium. Its description in RNAcentral is "partial 16S ribosomal RNA". It matches the Rfam family "Bacterial small subunit ribosomal RNA", at positions 524 to 776 of the family's 1533-position model. The record is from RNAcentral.
UACGAAGGGUGCUAGCGUUGUUCGGAAUUACUGGGCGUAAAGCGCGCGUAGGCGGCUUCGCAAGUCAGAGGUGAAAUCCCCAGGCUCAACCUGGGAAUUGCCUUUGAAACUGCAAAGCUAGAGUGUCGGAGGGGAUAGCGGAAUUCCUAAUGUAGAGGUGAAAUUCGUAGAUAUUAGGAGGAACACCGGUGGCGAAGGCGGCUAUCUGGACGACAACUGACGCUGAGGCGCGAAAGCACGGGGAUCAAACAGG